Molecule: ribosomal RNA, 447 nt
Filed under: uncultured bacterium
Lineage: Bacteria
Description: partial 16S ribosomal RNA
Rfam family: Bacterial small subunit ribosomal RNA
Source: RNAcentral
GGCCAGACUCCUACGGGAGGCAGCAGUGGGGGAUAUUGCACAAUGGGGGGAACCCUGAUGCAGCGACGCCGCGUGGGUGAAGAAGCGCCUCGGCGCGUAAAGCCCUGUCAGCAGGGAAGAAAAUGACAGUACCUGACCAAGAAGCCCCGGCUAACUACGUGCCAGCAGCCGCGGUAAUACGUAGGGGGCGAGCGUUAUCCGGAUUCACUGGGCGUAAAGGGAGCGCAGGCGGCACGGCAAGUCCGGUGUGAAAGCCCGGGGCCCAACCCCGGGACUGCACUGGAAACUGCCGGGCUGGAGUGUCGGAGGGGCAGGCGGAAUUCCUAGUGUAGCGGUGAAAUGCGUAGAUAUUAGGAGGAACACCGGUGGCGAAGGCGGCCUGCUGGACGACGACUGACGCUGAGGCUCGAAAGCGUGGGGAGCAAACAGGAUUAGAUACCCUGGUAU